This 115-nucleotide ribosomal RNA is filed under the name Pteropus alecto (black flying fox). The record is from RNAcentral. Lineage: Eukaryota; Metazoa; Chordata; Mammalia; Chiroptera; Pteropodidae.
GUCUACGGCCAUGCCACCCUGAACAAGCCCAAUAUCUGAUCUCGGAAGCUAAGCAAGGUCAGGCUGGUUAGUACUUGGAUGGGAGACCACCUAGGAAGACCAGGUGCUGUAGGCA